Molecule: ribosomal RNA, 253 nt
Filed under: uncultured bacterium
Lineage: Bacteria
Description: partial 16S ribosomal RNA
Rfam family: Bacterial small subunit ribosomal RNA
Source: RNAcentral
UACGGAGGGUGCAAGCGUUAUCCGGAUUUAUUGGGUUUAAAGGGUCCGUAGGCGGACUUAUAAGUCAGUGGUGAAAUCCUGUCGCUUAACGAUAGAACUGCCAUUGAUACUGUAAGUCUUGAGUAUAUUUGAGGUAGCUGGAAUAAGUAGUGUAGCGGUGAAAUGCAUAGAUAUUACUUAGAACACCAAUUGCGAAGGCAGGUUACCAAGAUAUAACUGACGCUGAGGGACGAAAGCGUGGGGAGCGAACAGG